Molecule: long non-coding RNA, 1175 nt
Filed under: Nicotiana benthamiana
Lineage: Eukaryota; Viridiplantae; Streptophyta; Magnoliopsida; Solanales; Solanaceae
Description: long non-coding RNA (NBEN_LNC010159)
Source: RNAcentral
GAGAAGAAGUGUUAUUGAUAAUAAGAUCAGUUGCGGUGUUAAUCUAAUCAAUGCGGACAACGUAAAAACACCGCUUACAUAUUUUAUCUAUAAAAAAACAAACCACUCUUUGCAACAAACUGAAACAUCCUUUUAUUACACUACAACUACCACAUAUCUAGAAACUCCUAAAAACAGAUGUGCAACACACUCUUCACAGCUCAUGAAGCUAAUACAAACAUUUCACAUUUGUAUAAACUUUGGAUUAGUCGGUCUUUAUAUCUGCAUUUCUGAUAGUCUCUGGGUAUAAGACAUUUUGUGCACCAGUAUAAUCCGCUACUUUCUUGCUAAGUGCAUCCUUCGGUGAAGUUUCCGGCCCAGUCAGAUACAUUAACCUGUACAUCCACUCCAGCACCUCCGGGCAAAACACCUUCCACAAGUAGCUAACUCUAAACCAAGCAGGUAUAGUCACGUAUCUUUCCCCUCGACAAUCCGGCCCAGUCAGAUACAUUAUCCUGUACAUCCACUCCACCACCUCCGGGCAAAACACCUUCCACAAGUAGCUAACUCUAAACCAAGCAGGUAUAGUCACGUAUCUUUCCCCUCGACAAGCACUAUUCACAAUUGUCUUAGCACAUGAUUCCGCCUUCGCCACUGGAGUCGCGCUUAUUAAUACCUGUAGGUUCAAACAUUCACUUUCUUGUCAACACGUCGCUGAAAAGAAGUAAACAUAAUUCUUUACAAAGGCAAAUGAUGGAACAUUAGUCUUAACCAAAUAUUAAAUAGAUUACUGAAGAAACAUGCUCUCUGCUGUGCUCUGCCCUUCUUCUGUGACUGCUUUAGCUGCUACUAGUAUUAUUUAGUCUAAUUCAUAUUUUAAAAUGGAAUUGACAAAUUAUCAUCAUCCAUUCUACACUCAUUGCUUGCUGCAAAAAGGAAAACUUAAAUAAAAAAAUACACUCGUAAUAGACCCAUCUUUUAGAAGGUGUAAUUAACUAAUUACAUGUAUUAAUCACCAUGAAAAUAAUUUUUACACCGUCAACAUUUCAUAGAUGCUAUGGCAGACUAAAACGGUCCUUUACUACCUUUAUCUAGUUCACUAAAUAAGAUUUACUACUCACGGUAAAGCUAGUUAAUGACCGUCGCACAUUGAAAUGUAGAAACUAGGCAAAAAAGGAAACAAAGACGAAAACUUA